CCGAAGAUCCGGCCAGCGGGCGUGUGAUAGCCGAGGCAGCAAGCGUGUGUCGGAUUUACGGGGGUGACAGGGUGCGCAGGCGGACUGGUGAGUCUGGGGUGAAAUCUCGCCGCUUAACGGCGAAACUGCCUUAGAUACUAUCAGUCUUGGAUAAGCGAGAGGUUCGUGGAAUUCCGAGUGUAGCAGUGAAAUGUGUAGAUAUUCGGAAGAACACCAGUGGCGAAGGCAGCGAACUGGCGCUUUAUCGACGCUCAUGCACGAAAGCAUGGGGAUCAAACAGGAUUAGAUACCCCAGUAGUC
Molecule: ribosomal RNA, 300 nt
Filed under: uncultured Cohnella sp.
Lineage: Bacteria; Bacillati; Bacillota; Bacilli; Caryophanales; Paenibacillaceae
Description: partial 16S ribosomal RNA
Rfam family: Bacterial small subunit ribosomal RNA
Source: RNAcentral